Long non-coding RNA from Eriocheir sinensis (Chinese mitten crab), 686 nucleotides. RefSeq lists it as uncharacterized. Lineage: Eukaryota; Metazoa; Arthropoda; Malacostraca; Decapoda; Varunidae. The transcript has 4 exons. The record is from RefSeq and is a predicted model, not a curated record.
GGUGGAAAGAUGACAGACAGUGAAUUGCCUGUACUACGAAAGAUGUCAGGCGGAGUCAUCGUCAUCGUCAGCCUGCUGGCCAUCCUUUCCUGCAGGUCACCCGUGGAAGGUCAAGGUCAACAAAUGGUCAAGAAGAAUAGCUGGUGGACUAAGCGAGGCCUCCUCCUCCCUCUUCCCCCCUCAUCCCCUCGCUCCGUCAUGGAAGGAAGAAGAGAGGAAGGAGGACAGAUUCCGGAAGACAAGGAAGACAUCAUUGGAGACCUCGCACCCUACGACACCUAUAACCUGAGGGGGACAGCAGGAAAAGGUUCGGACCAAUCAGAGGUUAACGAUCGAGCCUUGGACCAAUCAAAUGAGGGAUACGCUCUGACGUCACUUCGAGCUGCUAUUUGCCGGCCAAUCUCCCGCCAAAACCCGCCCGACAUGGCUAUACUGCUGUGCUUGAACCCGCGACCCUUCAGAGCUACUUAAGAAUAUGACCUAACACAUAUAUACAAGACAAAGUAAGUAUAUGUAGGUAAAGGGACAGACGUUCGCCCCUAUCUCUCCCUGACCCCCUUAGCAUUGUAAGCUACGGUGGCGUUAGGUGGUUAAGGUGAUUUGGGCUACACUGUAGGACAACAUUCUUGUACUUCGUCGUGCUCCAGGUUGUUGUUACGAGUGAAUAAAUGAUGAGGUCGUGUUGA